This 253-nucleotide ribosomal RNA is filed under the name uncultured bacterium. Its description in RNAcentral is "partial 16S ribosomal RNA". It matches the Rfam family "Bacterial small subunit ribosomal RNA", at positions 524 to 776 of the family's 1533-position model. The record is from RNAcentral.
UACGUAGGGUGCAAGCGUUGUCCGGAAUUAUUGGGCGUAAAGAGCUCGUAGGCGGUCUGUCGCGUCUGCUGUGAAAACUCGGGGCUUAACCCCGGACUUGCAGUGGGUACGGGCAGACUAGAGUGUGGUAGGGGAGACUGGAAUUCCUGGUGUAGCGGUGGAAUGCGCAGAUAUCAGGAGGAACACCGGUGGCGAAGGCGGGUCUCUGGGCCGUAACUGACGCUGAGGAGCGAAAGCGUGGGGAGCGAACAGG